UUGAAACAGUGUACAGUGCUUCCGGUCAAUGUCCGCCUUAGUUCGAUUAAAGCGAUCGGUUGAAACGGUUUUGUGUCAGCAUCGAGUAGGUAUAUCGCUCGAACGACAUACUUAAUUUUCAUGUAACGCUCUCGUUAAUAGAGGAUUGAAUGUACUAUAUCGAAUAGUAUAGGAUUAUCAUACAACUCCUUAUGCAACGAUGUGAUGUUCGUCGAGGGCAUCGAUUCAACAUGCACCGACGUUGUAGGACCAUGAGAAAAUAGUACCGCGGCUUUUAUCAACAACUCGUCAACAGUAUUGAGAUAAUAGACAGACGUUGCUCGUCGGGGGAAACGAAAGAGAGAGAAAAAUGGAGAGAAAAAAAAAUAAAUAAAGACACACACACAGAGAAAGAUAAGAAAGUAAAGCACCGCCGCCCG
Habropoda laboriosa is the source of this 419-nucleotide long non-coding RNA. RefSeq lists it as uncharacterized. NCBI's taxonomy places the organism in Eukaryota, Metazoa, Arthropoda, Insecta, Hymenoptera, Apidae. The record is from RefSeq and is a predicted model, not a curated record. The transcript is spliced from 3 exons.